GAUCAAAUUAUGAAGCUGCAGGCCCAAUUAUUGGAACAACACAAAAUAUUAGAUAACAGCAAAGCUAAGGAUGCUCAAAUUUUGAGUCUACAAGCUCAGUAGGGGAAAAGAACAAAUUGGAACGGAACAGUUUCCAAACAGUGAAGGAGGUUUUUCCAAACUCAUCCCUAACUGAACAUGAGGAUGAAUUGGCAUUAGGCGAACACAGUCAGUUAUUCAGUCUACCACCUGACAGUGUGUUAAAGUUAAAUUCUGUUAGUGCUGCACUAAAAGAAUUGUUAGUAAUAAUUCCAUGCAGCGAAGGAAGUGAACAAUUGUGGGACCGUAUUUGGGCUUAAAAUGGGUGUGGUACGGAAACCCAGAAAUAGCACGAGUUCAACAUAAAACAUGAAUUAGAAUUUUAGCGGGGGAUCAAGUCAAGUCUGGAAGUGUUACAGGAGGGAAGAGUGAGCCUACCGUUGAAAAACAUUGAAAGUUCAUUACCAUUAAGGUGUGAGGUAAAGUAAUAGAGUAUGCAAAUUGUCUAAUGAGAAGUACCAUCUUGUGUGAAUGAAUCCUGUGUAACAGCAAUCCUUUAUAGUUCUGUCACAGCUAGAAGCCUCAAAUAAUUCUGCUUCUCUUGCUAAAGAACAACUUGUCCUUUACGUUCAGAGUGUUGGUGAAGCUGGGUACUUAAAUGGCCCUAAAGAUGUUUCAUUUCGCUGGCAUUGCAGCGAUGAACAUCAUACAUGGACUUUUUAGGAAAGGAUUUUCAGCAUACUGGGAACACAACUAUCAACAAUGCAACAUUCUAUGGGUGCUAUUUUAUCAUUCAAGAGCCUUAUACAAUGAUUUUCAUCUGCAAUUUGUAUGGCCUUUCCCAAGCUUCUGCCAGAAAUUGAAUCUGUGAGUCAUGUAAGUCACAUGAGCAACAAUUGAGAUGCUUAAUGGUGUUUUUCUUUUCUCAGC
Molecule: long non-coding RNA, 948 nt
Organism: Daphnia carinata
Lineage: Eukaryota; Metazoa; Arthropoda; Branchiopoda; Diplostraca; Daphniidae
Exons: 5
Source: RefSeq, a predicted model, not a curated record